GACGAACGCUGGCGGCGUGCCUAAUACAUGCAAGUCGAACGCAGUGGGGCCGGGUGAGUAACACGUGGGUAACCUCCCAUCAGAGGGGAUAACACUUGGAAACAGGUGCUAAACCGAUACUGAUGGAUGGACCCGCGGUGCAUUAGCUAGUUGGUGAGGUAACGGCUCAAAAAGGCCACGAUGCAUAACCGACCAGAAUGGGCAGUCUGCCACACAGAGACGUAGACACGGCCAAGACUCCUACGGGAGGCAGCAGUAGGGAAUCUUCGGCAAUGGACGAAGGUCUGACCGAGCAACGCCGCGUGAGUGAAGAAGGUUUUCGGAUCGUAAAACUCUGUUGUUAGAGAAGCGGUAUCUAACCAGAAAGCCACGGCUAACUACGGGCCAGCCGCCGCGGUAAUAC
Molecule: ribosomal RNA, 403 nt
Filed under: uncultured bacterium
Lineage: Bacteria
Description: partial 16S ribosomal RNA
Rfam family: Bacterial small subunit ribosomal RNA
Source: RNAcentral